GAGGGUAUAGCUCAGUGGUAGAGCACGUGCUUAGCAUGCACAAGGUCCUGGGUACCUCCA
Molecule: transfer RNA, 60 nt
Filed under: Camelus bactrianus (Bactrian camel)
Lineage: Eukaryota; Metazoa; Chordata; Mammalia; Artiodactyla; Camelidae
Also listed under: 2 other names
Rfam family: tRNA
About the family: Transfer RNA (tRNA) molecules are approximately 80 nucleotides in length. Their secondary structure includes four short double-helical elements and three loops (D, anti-codon, and T loops). Further hydrogen bonds mediate the characteristic L-shaped molecular structure. tRNAs have two regions of fundamental functional importance: the anti-codon, which is responsible for specific mRNA codon recognition, and the 3' end, to which the tRNAs corresponding amino acid is attached (by aminoacyl-tRNA synthetases). tRNAs cope with the degeneracy of the genetic code in two manners: having more than one tRNA (with a specific anti-codon) for a particular amino acid; and 'wobble' base-pairing, i.e. permitting non-standard base-pairing at the 3rd anti-codon position.
Source: Rfam by way of RNAcentral